UACGGAGGGGGCUAGCGUUGUUCGGAAUUACUGGGCGUAAAGCGCACGUAGGCGGCUAUUCAAGUCGGGGGUGAAAGCCCGGGGCUCAACCCCGGAACUGCCCUCGAAACUAGAUAGCUAGAACCUUGGAGAGGCGAGUGGAAUUCCGAGUGUAGAGGUGAAAUUCGUAGAUAUUCGGAAGAACACCAGUGGCGAAGGCGACUCGCUGGACAAGUAUUGACGCUGAGGUGCGAAAGCGUGGGGAGCAAACAGG
This 253-nucleotide ribosomal RNA is filed under the name uncultured bacterium. RNAcentral describes it as "partial 16S ribosomal RNA". It matches the Rfam family "Bacterial small subunit ribosomal RNA", at positions 524 to 776 of the family's 1533-position model. The record is from RNAcentral.